GGAAGGAUCAUUCACAAUGAGUGUUUUAUGGCACUCUUUAAAAAUCCAUAUCCACCUUGUGUGCAAUGUUUGUUGGGAGAGAGGCAACUCUUUCCCUUCACAAAUAUCAACCUAUAUCUUUAACAACAUUCGUCUGAUAACAUAUUAUGAAUAUACUUAAUUCAAAAUAUAACUUUCAACAACGGAUCUCUUGGCUCUCGCAUCGAUGAAGAACGCAGCGAAAUGCGAUACGUAAUGUGAAUUGCAGAAUUCAGUGAAUCAUCGAAUCUUUGAACGCAUAUUGCGCUCUUUGGUAUUCCGAAGAGCAUGCUUGUUUGAGUAUCAGUAAACACCUCAACCUCCUCUUGAUUUUUCAAAAGGAGGGUGGACUUGAGCUAUCCCAACAACCUUCACCGGUAGGCGGGCGGCUUGAAAUGCAGGUGCAGCUGGACUUUUAUCUGAGCUAAAAGCAUAUCUAUUUAGUCCUCGUCAAACAGGAUUAUUACUAUUGCUGCAGCUAACAUAAAGGAUAAUUGUCCUCAUUGCUGACUGAUGCAGGAUUUUACGACACUUUAUGUGUUGUUCAACUCGAUCUCAAAUCAAGUAAGACUACCCGCUGAACUUAAGCAUAUCAAUAAGCGGAGGAAAA
Molecule: ribosomal RNA, 628 nt
Filed under: uncultured fungus
Lineage: Eukaryota; Fungi
Description: eukaryotic LSU rRNA
Rfam family: 5.8S ribosomal RNA (bases 171-324)
Source: RNAcentral